Molecule: ribosomal RNA, 257 nt
Filed under: uncultured bacterium
Lineage: Bacteria
Description: partial 16S ribosomal RNA
Rfam family: Bacterial small subunit ribosomal RNA
Source: RNAcentral
UACGGGGGGAGCAAGCGUUGUUCGGAUUUACUGGGCGUAAAGGGCGCGUAGGCGGCCUCUGCAAGUCGACUGUGAAAUCUCCGGGCUUAACCCGGAAAGGUCAGCCGAUACUGCAGGGCUAGAGUGCAGAAGGGGCAACUGGAAUUCUCGGUGUAGCGGUGAAAUGCGUAGAUAUCGAGAGGAACACCUGCGGCGAAGGCGGGUUGCUGGGCUGACACGUGACGCUGGACAGCGCGAAAGCUAGGGGAGCGAACGGG